Molecule: ribosomal RNA, 566 nt
Filed under: uncultured bacterium
Lineage: Bacteria
Description: partial 16S ribosomal RNA
Rfam family: Bacterial small subunit ribosomal RNA
Source: RNAcentral
UGGGGAAUAUUGCACAAUGGGCGCAAGCCUGAUGCAGCCAUGCCGCGUGUGUGAAGAAGGCCUUCGGGUUGUAAAGCACUUUCAGCGAGGAGGAAGGUGGUGAGCUUAAUACGCUCAUCAAUUGACGUUACUCGCAGAAGAAGCACCGGCUAACUCCGUGCCAGCAGCCGCGGUAAUACGGAGGGUGCAAGCGUUAAUCGGAAUUACUGGGCGUAAAGCGCACGCAGGCGGUUUGUUAAGUCAGAUGUGAAAUCCCCGGGCUCAACCUGGGAACUGCAUUUGAAACUGGCAAGCUAGAGUCUCGUAGAGGGGGUAGAAUUCCAGGUGUAGCGGUGAAAUGCGUAGAGAUCUGGAGGAAUACCGGUGGCGAAGGCGGCCCCCUGGACGAAGACUGACGCUCAGGUGCGAAAGCGUGGGGCAGCAAACAGGAUUAGAUACCCUGGUAGUCCACGCUGUAAACGAUGUCGAUUUUGGAGGUUGUGCCCUUGAGGCGUGGCUUCCGGAGCUAACGCGUUAAAUCGACCGCCUGGGGAGUACGGCCGCAAGGUUAAAACUCAAAUGAAUUG